Ramazzottius varieornatus is the source of this 74-nucleotide non-coding RNA. The record is from the annotation of a GenBank genome assembly. Lineage: Eukaryota; Metazoa; Tardigrada; Eutardigrada; Parachela; Ramazzottiidae.
AUAAGGUGUAGCGAAGUGUUGCCUUUUUCUUAUGGGGAAAACCAGCUCUGCGUGCCAGCGCUGCUUCUUUUUCC